CCCGCAGUAUACUGACUGCGUGAAAGUAGCAUAAUAAUUUGCCUUUUAAUUGGUGGCUGGUAUCAACGGUAUUAUGAGGGUGAAACUGUCUCUUACCUAUUCAAUUGAAUUUACCUACUAGGUGAAAAGGCCUAGAUAAUUUUAUAAGACAAGAAGACCCUGUCAAGCUUUACAAGACUAAAAUCUAUUUCAUGUCCUUGUUUGGUUGGGGCAACCGGGGGGCACACAAAAUCCCUCCUCUUAUAACACCUUUCAAGGUACGACCCGCAAUAAGCGAUCUACGGAAAAGCUACUGCAGGGAUAACAGCGUAAUUUUCUUUGUAAGUCCUUAUUUUAAAGAAAGUUUGCGACCUCGAUGUUGGA
RNAcentral lists this ribosomal RNA (363 nucleotides) under Scutellastra obtecta. Its description in RNAcentral is "partial 16S ribosomal RNA". It matches the Rfam family "Archaeal large subunit ribosomal RNA", at positions 2007 to 2605 of the family's 2987-position model. Lineage: Eukaryota; Metazoa; Mollusca; Gastropoda; Patellidae. The record is from RNAcentral.